GGACGGCAGGGUGAUGGCGUUCCACCUUUCCCAACCGUUCCGUUCCGGAACUGAUGACGCCUGAUGUGAC
Molecule: non-coding RNA, 70 nt
Filed under: Plautia stali
Lineage: Eukaryota; Metazoa; Arthropoda; Insecta; Hemiptera; Pentatomidae
Also listed under: 1 other name
Description: Fluoride sequence
Rfam family: Fluoride riboswitch aptamer (crcB RNA motif)
Source: RNAcentral